RNAcentral lists this ribosomal RNA (253 nucleotides) under uncultured bacterium. RNAcentral's name for it is "partial 16S ribosomal RNA". It matches the Rfam family "Bacterial small subunit ribosomal RNA", at positions 524 to 776 of the family's 1533-position model. The record is from RNAcentral.
GACGUAGGUGACGAACGUUAUCCGGAAUUAUUGGGCGUAAAGGGUGCGUAGGCGGUCGGGUAAGUCCGAUGUGAAAUCUCACAGCUUAACUGUGAAACUGCAUUGGAUACUAUUCGGCUUGAGAGUUGGAGGGGGGACUGGAAUUCUUGGUGUAGCAGUGAAAUGCGUAGAUAUCAAGAGGAACACCAGUGGCGAAGGCGAGUCCCUGGACAACUUCUGACGCUGAGGCACGAAAGCUAGGGGAGCAAACAGG